Molecule: ribosomal RNA, 554 nt
Filed under: Rhiginia sp. CW-2009
Lineage: Eukaryota; Metazoa; Arthropoda; Insecta; Hemiptera; Reduviidae
Description: partial 16S ribosomal RNA
Rfam family: Bacterial large subunit ribosomal RNA
Source: RNAcentral
CGCCUGUUUAUCAAAAACAUGUCCUUUUGUUUGUAUUUAUUUAAGGUUUGCCCUGCCCAAUGAUUAAUUUAAUGGCCGCAGUAUACUAACUGUGCUAAGGUAGCAUAAUCAAUUGUCUUUUAAUUGGAGGCUGGAAUGAAGGGGUGGAUGAAGUAUUAUCUUUCUUUUUACUAAAUUUUGAACUUAAUUUUUUGGUUAAAAAGCUAAAAUUUUAUUGUGGGACGAGAAGACCCUAUAGAUCUUUAUAUUUAUUUAUUUUAUGAUGAUUUAGUUUAAUUAUCUAUUUUAAAAUAAUUUUUUAUUUAAUUGGGGUGAUUUUAGAAUUUAAAUAACUACUAUUUAAUUUAUCAUUAAUGAGUGUUUUAUUGAUCCUUUAUUAUUGAUUUUAAGAUUAAGUUACCUUAGGGAUAACAGCGUAAUUUUUUCGGAGAGUUCAUAUUGAUGAAGAAGUUUGCGACCUCGAUGUUGGAUUAAAGUAAGUUAUGGGCGCAGUUGCCUAUAAACUGAGUCUGUUCGACUUUUAAAUUUUUACAUGAUCUGAGUUCAAACCGGAG